This 64-nucleotide transfer RNA is filed under the name Cerceris bucculata. RNAcentral's name for it is "tRNA-Ala". Lineage: Eukaryota; Metazoa; Arthropoda; Insecta; Hymenoptera; Crabronidae. The record is from RNAcentral.
AGGAUAUUAGUUAAAAUAUAACAAUUAAAUUGCAUUUAAAAAUUAAUUUCUAAAAAUUAUAUCU